Molecule: non-coding RNA, 191 nt
Organism: Pseudomonas fluorescens ABAC62
Lineage: Bacteria; Pseudomonadati; Pseudomonadota; Gammaproteobacteria; Pseudomonadales; Pseudomonadaceae
Source: Rfam
GGGUUUAACUCCUGCUUGUUACCGUUUCAUCUGGCCGGAGCCGAAUGUCGUUUUGGUGUCUGAUUCGGUAAGGAACCGGGAGCACCAUCUGCGUAGGCUUGUGGUUUAAGACUUGCGCCGCCUACGGUCUUGGAUAGCCCCCGCCAGGCAGGGACCCCAAUUUUUUCCAAUUGGCGCAAUAACUUGCGCCA